GGGGAUUUAGCUAAGUGGUAGAGUGCUUGCUUAGCAAGUACAAGGCACUGAGUUCGAUCCUCAGCCCCA
This 69-nucleotide transfer RNA is filed under the name Mus musculus (house mouse). It matches the Rfam family "tRNA". Rfam says of the family: Transfer RNA (tRNA) molecules are approximately 80 nucleotides in length. The record is from Rfam by way of RNAcentral. Lineage: Eukaryota; Metazoa; Chordata; Mammalia; Rodentia; Muridae.